AGGGAAAAUAGGUGAAAAUUCAAAAAUCAAGUGAAAAAAAGGUGGUGAGUCAAUUGUUUCGGGUAAGAGACUGCACCCGAGGGCGGAAGAUAGGAGUAUUUCUACUCCUAAUACUGCUCAGGACAGUUUGUAGAUAGUCGAGUA
Non-coding RNA from Theobroma cacao (cacao), 144 nucleotides. Lineage: Eukaryota; Viridiplantae; Streptophyta; Magnoliopsida; Malvales; Malvaceae. The record is from RefSeq and is a predicted model, not a curated record.